RNAcentral lists this ribosomal RNA (499 nucleotides) under uncultured archaeon. RNAcentral's name for it is "bacterial SSU rRNA". It matches the Rfam family "Archaeal small subunit ribosomal RNA", at positions 332 to 831 of the family's 1478-position model. The record is from RNAcentral.
CCAGAAGGCGCGAAACCUCCGCAAUGUGAGAAAUCGCRUMAGGGGGAUCCCAAGUGCCAUUCUUAACGGGAUGGCUUUUCAUUAGUGUAAAGAGCUUUUGGAAUAAGAGCUGGCCAAGACCGGUGCCAGCCGCCGCGGUAACACCGGCAGCUCUAGUGGUAGCAGUUUUUAUUGGGCCUAAAGCGUCCGUAGCCGGUUUAAUAAGUCUCUGGUGAAAUCCUGCAGCUUAACUGUAGGAAUUGCUGGAGAUACUAUUAGCCUUGAGAUCGGGAGAGGUUAGAGGUACUCACAGGGUAGAGGUGAAAUUCUGUAAUCCUGGGAGGWCCGCCUGUUGCGAAGGCGUCUGACUGGAACGAUUCUGACGGUGAGGGACGAAAGCUAGGGGCGCGAACCGGAUUAGAUACCCGGGUAGUCCUAGCUGUAACCGAUGCGCGCUUGGUGUURGGGWRGCUUUGAGCUGUYCCAGUGCCGAAGGGAAGCUGUUAAGYSAGCCGCCUGG